RNAcentral lists this ribosomal RNA (431 nucleotides) under uncultured bacterium. RNAcentral describes it as "bacterial SSU rRNA". It matches the Rfam family "Bacterial small subunit ribosomal RNA", at positions 28 to 501 of the family's 1533-position model. The record is from RNAcentral.
GACGAACGCUGGCGGUGUGCUUCACACAUGCAAGUCGAACGAGGUAGCAAUACCUAGUGGCGGACGGGUGAGUAACGCGUGGGAAUCUGCCUUUAGAUGGGGGAUAACGAGCCGAAAGGUUCGCUAAUACCGCAUAGGUCGCAAGAUUAAAGGAGUAAUCCGUCUAGAGAUGAGCCCGCGUCCGAUUAGCUAGUUGGUAGGGUAAAGGCCUACCAAGGCGACGAUCGGUAGCUGGUCUGAGAGGAUGAUCAGCCACAAUGGGACUGAGACACGGCCCAUACUCCUACGGGAGGCAGCAGUGGGGAAUUUUACGCAAUGGGCGAAAGCCUGACGUAGCGACACCGCGUGAGCGAAGAAGCCCUUUGGGGUGUAAAGCUCUGUCGGCUGGAACGAAAAAAAUGACGGUACCAGCAAAGGAAGCAUCGGCUAAC